AGUGUGUUGCAGCUGCAGUUUAAUGUUGAUAACUGUAACAUAAUGGACUUGGGAUGAUAAAAUCCCAAGGUGGAUUUUUUAUUGGAUACACUGUUAUAUCAGUGACAACAAAAGAGGGAGACUUAGGAGUAAUUAUUUUGGAUGACUUAAAGAGAAGCAGACAAUGCGAUAAAGCAUCAGAAAAAGCAAGCACAUUCAGGAAGAUAGAGGUUGUUCUACCACUUUACAGAUCUCUGGUCAAACCUCACCUAGAGUAUGGCAUACAGCUCUGGAGACUCCAUCUCCAGAAGGAUGUUAACUCAUUGGUAAUAGUUCAGAGGAGGGAUAGAAAAUGGUAAGUGGUUUGCAGGCUAAAAAUGAUUAAGACUAAGAGGUCUUAAUAUGCAUAGUUUACAGGAAAGAA
This is a long non-coding RNA of Spea bombifrons (plains spadefoot toad), 403 nucleotides long. RefSeq lists it as uncharacterized. NCBI's taxonomy places the organism in Eukaryota, Metazoa, Chordata, Amphibia, Anura, Pelobatidae. The record is from RefSeq and is a predicted model, not a curated record. The transcript has 2 exons.